AAAUUGGCUUUUUUAAAAGCUAAAAACAUUUAAAUCUUGUUUUUUU
Molecule: non-coding RNA, 46 nt
Organism: Gossypium arboreum
Lineage: Eukaryota; Viridiplantae; Streptophyta; Magnoliopsida; Malvales; Malvaceae
Source: Rfam